GAGUUUAUAGCUCAAAAGGGUAGAGCGAUUCGCUUACAACGAGACGGUUGUGGGUUCAAGUCCUGCUAAACUCA
RNAcentral lists this transfer RNA (74 nucleotides) under Jenufa perforata. Its description in RNAcentral is "tRNA-Val". It matches the Rfam family "tRNA". From Rfam's summary of the family: Transfer RNA (tRNA) molecules are approximately 80 nucleotides in length. Their secondary structure includes four short double-helical elements and three loops (D, anti-codon, and T loops). Further hydrogen bonds mediate the characteristic L-shaped molecular structure. tRNAs have two regions of fundamental functional importance: the anti-codon, which is responsible for specific mRNA codon recognition, and the 3' end, to which the tRNAs corresponding amino acid is attached (by aminoacyl-tRNA synthetases). tRNAs cope with the degeneracy of the genetic code in two manners: having more than one tRNA (with a specific anti-codon) for a particular amino acid; and 'wobble' base-pairing, i.e. permitting non-standard base-pairing at the 3rd anti-codon position. The record is from RNAcentral. Lineage: Eukaryota; Viridiplantae; Chlorophyta; Chlorophyceae.